This 403-nucleotide ribosomal RNA is filed under the name uncultured bacterium. Its description in RNAcentral is "partial 16S ribosomal RNA". It matches the Rfam family "Bacterial small subunit ribosomal RNA", at positions 30 to 526 of the family's 1533-position model. The record is from RNAcentral.
AUUGAACGCUGGCGGCAGGCCUAACACAUGCAAGUCGAGCGAGCGGCGGACGUGUGAGUAAUGUAUGGGGACUGCCCGAUAGAGCGGGAUAACUAAUGGAGACGGUGGCUCAUACCGCAUACUGUCGGAUAACCCCUUAGGGAUUAGCUAGUAGGUAAGGUACUGGCUGACCUAGGCGACGAUCCCUAGCUGGUCUGAGAGGAUGAUCAGCAACACUGGGACUGAGAAACGGCCCAGACUCGUACGGAGGCAGCAGUGGGGAAUAUUGCACAAUGGGCGAAAGCCUGAUGCCGCCAGGCCGCGUGUAUGAAGAAGGCCUUAGGGUUGUAAAGUACUUGCAGUAGGGAGGCGUUACCGACAGAAGAAGCACCGGCUAACUCCGUGCCAGCCGCCGCGGUAAUUC